GCUUGCACAAGAUGACGACCGGCGCACGGGGCGCACCGCGUAUGGAACCUGCCUUGUACAGGGGAAUAGCCCAGGGAAACUUGGAUUAAUGCCCCGUAGUACCGUGGCCCGGCAUCGGGAUACGGUUAAAGCCUUCGGGCGGUACAAGAUGGCCAUGCGUCCCAUUAGCUAGUUGGUAAGGUAACGGCUUACCAAGGCUACGAUGGGUAGGGGCCCUGAGAGGGGGAUCCCCCACACUGGUACUGAGACACGGACCAGACUCCUACGGGAGGCAGCAGUGAGGAAUAUUGGACAAUGGAGGAGACUCUGAUCCAGCCAUGCCGCGUGCAGGAAGAAUGCCCUAUGGGUAGUAAACUGCUUUUAUACGGGAAGAAAAAGAGCUACGUGUAGCUUACUGACGGUACCGUAAGAAUAAGGACCGGCUAACUCCGUGCCAGCAGCCGCGGUAAUACGGAGGGUCCGAGCGUUAUCCGGAAUUAUUGGGUUUAAAGGGUCCGUAGGCGGGCCGAUAAGUCAGGGGUGAAAGUCUGCCGCUCAACGGUAGAACUGCCUUUGAUACUGUCGGUCUUGAGUUAUAGUGAAGUUGCCGGAAUAUGUAGUGUAGCGGUGAAAUGCAUAGAUAUUACAUAGAACACCGAUUGCGAAGGCAGGUGACUAACUAUAUACUGACGCUGAUGGACGAAAGCGUGGGGAGCGAACAGGAUUAGAUACCCUGGUAGUCCACGCCGUAAACGAUGGAUACUAGCUGUCCGGAGCCUUGAGUUCUGGGCGGCCAAGCGAAAGUGAUAAGUAUCCCACCUGGGGAGUACGUUCGCAAGAAUGAAACUCAAAGGAAUUGACGGGGGCCCGCACAAGCGGUGGAGCAUGUGGUUUAAUUCGAUGAUACGCGAGGAACCUUACCAGGGCUUAAAUGCAUAUUGACAGGUCUAGAGAUAGAUUUUCCUUCGGGCAAUUUGCAAGGUGCUGCAUGGUUGUCGUCAGCUCGUGCCGUGAGGUGUCAGGUUAAGUCCUAUAACGAGCGCAACCCCUACCGUUAGUUGCCAGCAUGUCAUGAUGGGGGACUCUAACGGGACUGCCGGUGCAAACCGUGAGGAAGGUGGGGAUGACGUCAAAUCAUCACGGCCCUUACGUCCUGGGCCACACACGUGCUACAAUGGCAGGUACAGAGAGCAGCCACGUCGCAAGGCGGAGCGAAUCUAUAAAACCUGUCACAGUUCGGAUCGGGGUCUGCAACUCGACCCCGUGAAGCUGGAAUCGCUAGUAAUCGGAUAUCAGCCAUGAUCCGGUGAAUACGUUCCCGGGCCUUGUACACUCCGCCCGUCAAGCCAUGGAAGCCGGGAGUGCCU
RNAcentral lists this ribosomal RNA (1346 nucleotides) under Maribacter stanieri. RNAcentral describes it as "bacterial SSU rRNA". It matches the Rfam family "Bacterial small subunit ribosomal RNA", at positions 78 to 1422 of the family's 1533-position model. The record is from RNAcentral. Lineage: Bacteria; Pseudomonadati; Bacteroidota; Flavobacteriia; Flavobacteriales; Flavobacteriaceae.